GAAAAGAACUUUGAAGAAAGAGUUCAAGAGAACGUGAAACUACCACGAGGUUAAAGCGGAUGUACAUACGUAGCCGAUAAGGGGGCCUCAUCUCCUCUAGCCUCCAGCGGUCGUCGCGUUCGGACCUUCGCUUUCCGUCCACGCUUCGGCGGGGAUAACCUUUUAGCGAAGGCCGUCGCGACGGCGGACUCGGAGGAUGGGGGGUGGAUUUCCCUCCUUCGUAGGCAGUCGCGGCCGUUCGAGAGUCGUCUAAGACCCGGGAGUUUUAGGGAACCGUCCGGCGAAUAAUACUCGCGUGGCGGGGACGCUCCCUCGAUUCUGGCGGACUUUCGGACGGUAGCUAAAAAAUGACGACGUUAGGAGAGACGUCGGGAGUGGUGGAGGGGGAGGAAUUUCUUCCGCCGUCGCCGCUGCCGCGUCUCUUCUCGUCGUACGCGGCUGUGACGCGAUCGUUCAUCCGUCCCGUCUUGAAACACGGACCAAGGAGUCUAACAUGUACGCGAGUCAACGGGUUGGCUAAACCCCUAGGCGCAACGAAAGUAAAAAAGAGCUUACUCCUUAACGGGGGCACGCUCGUUGGGUCGAUCCGUGAUCCACUUCAACGACAACUAACUUCUACUACUACUUCUGCUUCUCCAUUUUCUUCGUCCGUCCUCUUCGUUGUAGGGCGGCGAGGCGAGUUGGGGGUGGAGGUGUGGGUGACGGAGUCUGGUUCGUCGUCGUCGUAAGGACCGGCGCAGACCCGGGGCUCGCCGCUACCUUCUCGAGACAAUUUCGUCUCGAGGCGGGCGGCGGGCACCUAGAGCGUACAUGCUAGUACCCGAAAGAUGGUGAUCUAUGCUUGGCCAGGAUGAAGCCAGAGGAAACUCUGGUGGAGGUCCG
This 882-nucleotide ribosomal RNA is filed under the name Proasellus sp. n. Pesio Santa Anna. RNAcentral describes it as "partial 28S ribosomal RNA". It matches the Rfam family "Eukaryotic large subunit ribosomal RNA", at positions 366 to 877 of the family's 3401-position model. Lineage: Eukaryota; Metazoa; Arthropoda; Malacostraca; Isopoda; Asellidae. The record is from RNAcentral.